UACGUAGGGGGCAAGCGUUGUCCGGAAUUAUUGGGCGUAAAGAGCGUGUAGGCGGCCCGGUAAGUCCGCUGUAAAAGUCAAAGGCUCAACCUUUGAAUGUCAGUGGAUACUGCCGGGCUAGAGUCCGGAAGAGGCGAGUGGAACUCCUGGUGUAGCGGUGGAAUGCGCAGAUAUCAGGAGGAACACCAAUAGCGAAGGCAGCUCGCUGGGACGUUACUGACACUGAGGCGCGAAAGCGUGGGGAGCGAACAGG
Molecule: ribosomal RNA, 253 nt
Filed under: uncultured bacterium
Lineage: Bacteria
Description: partial 16S ribosomal RNA
Rfam family: Bacterial small subunit ribosomal RNA
Source: RNAcentral